UACGUAGGUGGCAAGCGUUGUCCGGAAUUAUUGGGCGUAAAGCGCGCGCAGGCGGUCCUUUAAGUCUGAUGUGAAAGCCCACGGCUCAACCGUGGAGGGUCAUUGGAAACUGGGGGACUUGAGUGCAGGAGAGAAGAGUGGAAUUCCACGUGUAGCGGUGAAAUGCGUAGAUAUCGGGAGGAACGCCGGUGGCGAAAGCGACUGUCUGGGGUGCCUGUGACGCUGAGGCGCGAAAGCCAGGGGAUCAAACGGG
Molecule: ribosomal RNA, 253 nt
Filed under: uncultured bacterium
Lineage: Bacteria
Description: partial 16S ribosomal RNA
Rfam family: Bacterial small subunit ribosomal RNA
Source: RNAcentral